RNAcentral lists this ribosomal RNA (688 nucleotides) under uncultured bacterium. RNAcentral describes it as "bacterial SSU rRNA". It matches the Rfam family "Bacterial small subunit ribosomal RNA", at positions 102 to 811 of the family's 1533-position model. The record is from RNAcentral.
ACGGGUGAGUAACACGUUGGUGACCUGCCCCGAAGCGGGGGGCAACCACUGGAAACGGUGGCUAAUACCGCAUGUGCUUAAUCAUUCGUUUGGUUAAGUAAAACUCAGGUGCUUCGGGAGGGGCCUGCGGUCGAUUAGUUAGUUGGUGAGGUAAUGGCUCACCAAGACGAUGAUCGAUAGGGGGCGUGAGAGCGUGACCCCCCACACUGGAACUGAGACACGGUCCAGACUCCUACGGGAGGCAGCAGUGAGGAAUAUUGCACAAUGGGCGCAAGCCUGAUGCAGCAACGCCGCGUGGGGGAUGAAGGCCUUCGGGUCGUAAACCUCUUUUCCAUGGGAAGAGAAAGGACGGUACCAUGGGAAUAAGUCUCGGCUAACUACGUGCCAGCAGCCGCGGUAAAACGUANGAGGCGAACGUUAUCCGGAAUUACUGGGCGUAAAGCGCGCGCAGGCGGCUUUGUAAGUCCGACGUGAAAGCUCCCGGCUUAACUGGGAGAGGCCGUUGGAUACUGCGGAGCUUGAGGUUAGGAGAGGAAAGCGGAAUUCCCGGUGUAGUGGUGGAAUGCGUAGAUAUCGGGAGGAACUCCAGAGGCGAAAGCGGCUUUCUGGGCCUACACCUGACGCUGAGGCGCGAAAGCGUGGGGAGCGAACAGGAUUAGAUACCCUGGUAGUCCACGCUGUAACGAUG